GGGCCCGCACAAGCGGUGGAGCAUGUGGUUUAAUUCGAUGAUACGCGAGGAACCUUACCAGGGCUUAAAUGGGAGAUGACAGGGGCAGAGACGCCCUUUUCUUCGGACAUCUUUCAAGGUGCUGCAUGGUUGUCGUCAGCUCGUGCCGUGAGUGUCAGGUUAAGUCCUAUAACGAGCGCAACCCCUACCGUUAGUUGCCAGCGAUUCAAGUCGGGGACUCUAACGGGACUGCCGGUGCAAACCGUGAGGAAGGUGGGGGACGACGUCAAAUCAUCACGGCCCUUACGUCCUGGGCUACACACGUGCUACAAUGUCGUCACAGGAGGGAAGCUCCCCGACAAGGGG
Molecule: ribosomal RNA, 345 nt
Filed under: uncultured bacterium
Lineage: Bacteria
Description: bacterial SSU rRNA
Rfam family: Bacterial small subunit ribosomal RNA
Source: RNAcentral